This is a long non-coding RNA of Helianthus annuus (common sunflower), 1791 nucleotides long. RefSeq lists it as uncharacterized. The record is from RefSeq and is a predicted model, not a curated record. The transcript has 8 exons. Lineage: Eukaryota; Viridiplantae; Streptophyta; Magnoliopsida; Asterales; Asteraceae.
CUAAUCCCAAAUAUCUCAUCCACCGUCCACUCAAAUCACAAUCAGACGGCUAUCAUUCUCCCUUCACACAAGUUUCUAAUUUUUCAAAGCUCACAGAAACGUUACUCUCAAUUCUCUCUCUCAUUGUUCUUCGUCUCUACACAAUGAAGUUUUGGAGGCCAAAAUCUAUUUCAUUGCAUCUAAAUUUUGAAAUCCCGCUCCUCAUCCCAAACUUUAAUUAUCCGCCUUCUUUACAUUUGCAAGGAGAGAACCAGAGUAAAAAAGUGAGUUAGAGAUAGGACCUGAUCGGCGGCUAGGGUUUCGAGGUUAUUUUCUCAGGCCACGACAAGGUAAUAUUAGGGAUGCGUGUGAAGGCUGAUACAUGGGCGGCUAUAAGGUUCGGACCACCCGGUAGGUUCAGUUCCCAAAUGGUGCAUUUGCAAGCAAGUUACCACGAAGCUGCUUCAUCGUAAAGUUCCCAAAUUAUGGCACAGGAACCAAAGAUGGGCAGACAAUGGUUGUACGAGAAGGUGACAAAGUGUGUGCUUUCAGAUGUCUAUGUGGAUACAAUAGCUACUCAUUUGCGUGAAAGAUGGAGUGCAAACCAAAACGCCAACGCCAACAAAAAGAAGAGCCUAUUGGGGAACUCCAAAGACACCAGUGAGGAUGAUUCAGUCUGAGAUCAAGCAUUUUAUCGAAAGCUCAGUUGCGUCUAGCUAAGCUGGAUCAGUUAAGGCAAGCAGCCAGAAUAGGGGUUGAGGUGCGUAUUAAGAAGGAAUGUGCAAAGCUAGGGACAAAAGUGGAAUUGCGCGUACGUCAAGCAGAGACAAACAGAAUGAGAAUCUUGAAGUGGAAUUGCGCCAAUGGAAACCGCCCUGCUCGACUGGGCCAUCAACCUGAUGGCUGAUGUCGUCCAAUACGAGCAUCUCAACAAGAUGAAUUCGCACAAUAUCGGAAUGGUUUUCGCCCCAAGUAUGAUCUAGGUUCGUUAUUUUAAUCUUGAAGGUUUGGCCAUUUUUUGCGACUUUCAUCCAAAGGUACUGCAAUGUAGUCCAGAAGAUGCUAAUCUCUUGUAGUGCAACUGGAAUGUAGUCCAGAUGAUGCUAAUGAAAAAUUUAAGAGCUUUAAAAGUUAUGUUGAAACGUUAAAAGGGAAGGGAUUUUUGGCAAGCUCUUCUUUGUGCGCGUAAGAGGCGGUUCUACUAGAUUUCAACACUCCAACAACGAGGGGAUUUAUGGCGGAUCAGGUGUUGGAGGGUAGCAGCGGAUCUGGUAUAAGGUUUUGGUUUGAUUAGGAACUAUGUAAAAGCAGGUUAGGCUCCUCGAUUAUAUUGGCAGGAGAAUGAAAAUGGGCUGCAAAUGAGUGAUAAGUCGAUUACAGAGACUGUACUUGGAAGAAGCUCUCUUCGUUUGCACGAGUGGGGACGUGAUCCGGUUAGUUCUAGUAGCACAAUGGGUGCUACUAAAAAAUCAAAGCUUCUUGCUUACGAAGAGCCGUGGAUGCUUACGAUGAGCUGGUGGAAGAACUUGGAACCGUGAAAGGUAAAUGUGCAAUUAUGGAACAGGCGUUGAUUGAGAAUAAUAUCAUGCCUCGUCCAUCAAGCACACUAGAACAAUCCCAAUGUGAUGCAUUAGAGGGUGUUGAAAACAUUGAUGAGUGAAAGCGAUUUAGUAGAUUCUAUAACUCGUUAUUAACAUGUAAACACUUUUAGUUUUGUUUGUUUUAGUAUUUAAAUUUCUAUAACUACCACUUUUAUUUGGUUGUUUGUAAGAUUGAUGUUUAUUAGUUUAAUUAAGAAUCGUAAUUUGUUCA